GGGUUGUGAGGUUAAGCGACUAAGCGUACACGGUGGAUGCCCUGGCAGUCAGAGGCGAUGAAGGGCGUGCUAAUCUGCGAUAAGCGCCGGUAAGGUGAUAUGAACCGUUAUAACCGGCGAUACCCGAAUGGGGAAACCCAGUGUGAUUCGUCACACUAUCAUUAACUGAAUCCAUAGGUUAAUGAGGCGAACCGGGGGAACUGAAACAUCUAAGUACCCCGAGGAAAAGAAAUCAACCGAGAUUCCCCCAGUAGCGGCGAGCGAACGGGGAGGAGCCCAGAGCCUGAAUCAGCAUGUGUGUUAGUGGAAGCGUCUGGAAAGGCGCGCGAUACAGGGUGACAGCCCCGUACACAAAAGCGCAUGUGCUGUGAGCUCGAUGAGUAGGGCGGGACACGUGGUAUCCUGUCUGAAUAUGGGGGGACCAUCCUCCAAGGCUAAAUACUCCUGACUGACCGAUAGUGAACCAGUACCGUGAGGGAAAGGCGAAAAGAACCCCGGCGAGGGGAGUGAAAAAGAACCUGAAACCGUGUACGUACAAGCAGUGGGAGCACAGGUUUACCUGUGUGACUGCGUACCUUUUGUAUAAUGGGUCAGCGACUUAUAUUCUGUAGCAAGGUUAACCGUAUAGGGGAGCCGUAGGGAAACCGAGUCUUAACCGGGCGUUAAGUUGCAGGGUAUAGACCCGAAACCCGGUGAUCUAGCCAUGGGCAGGUUGAAGGUUGGGUAACACUAACUGGAGGACCGAACCGACUAAUGUUGAAAAAUUAGCGGAUGACCUGUGGCUGGGGGUGAAAGGCCAAUCAAACCGGGAGAUAGCUGGUUCUCCCCGAAAGCUAUUUAGGUAGCGCCUCGUGAAUUCAUCUCCGGGGGUAGAGCACUGUUUCGGCUAGGGGGCCAUCCCGGCUUACCAACCCGAUGCAAACUGCGAAUACCGGAGAAUGUUAUCACGGGAGACACACGGCGGGUGCUAACGUCCGUCGUGAAGAGGGAAACAACCCAGACCGCCAGCUAAGGUCCCAAAGUCAUGGUUAAGUGGGAAACGAUGUGGGAAGGCCCAGACAGCCAGGAUGUUGGCUUAGAAGCAGCCAUCAUUUAAAGAAAGCGUAAUAGCUCACUGGUCGAGUCGGCCUGCGCGGAAGAUGUAACGGGGCUAAACCAUGCACCGAAGCUGCGGCAGCGAACGUAUCACCCAAGACAACUUUACGGAGUUGACGAUUGACGGAGCGAAGCGACGUCAAAGCGUUCAUUAAAGUCGAGUUGGCUUAGGGAUACGUUCGUUGGGUAGGGGAGCGUUCUGUAAGCCUGUGAAGGUGUGUCGUGAGGCAUGCUGGAGGUAUCAGAAGUGCGAAUGCUGACAUAAGUAACGAUAAAGCGGGUGAAAAGCCCGCUCGCCGGAAGACCAAGGGUUCCUGUCCAACGUUAAUCGGGGCAGGGUGAGUCGACCCCUAAGGCGAGGCCGAAAGGCGUAGUCGAUGGGAAACGGGUUAAUAUUCCCGUACUUGGUGUUACUGCGAAGGGGGGACGGAGAAGGCUAUGUUGGCCGGGCGACGGUUGUCCCGGUUUAAGCGUGUAGGUGUGUGUUCCAGGUAAAUCCGGUUCACUUUAACACUGAGGCGUGAUGACGAGGCACUACGGUGCUGAAGCAACAAAUGCCCUGCUUCCAGGAAAAGCCUCUAAGCAUCAGGUAACAUCAAAUCGUACCCCAAACCGACACAGGUGGUCAGGUAGAGAAUACCAAGGCGCUUGAGAGAACUCGGGUGAAGGAACUAGGCAAAAUGGUGCCGUAACUUCGGGAGAAGGCACGCUGACACGUAGGUGAAGUGAUUUACUCAUGGAGCUGAAGUCAGUCGAAGAUACCAGCUGGCUGCAACUGUUUAUUAAAAACACAGCACUGUGCAAACACGAAAGUGGACGUAUACGGUGUGACGCCUGCCCGGUGCCGGAAGGUUAAUUGAUGGGGUCAGCGCAAGCGAAGCUCCUGAUCGAAGCCCCGGUAAACGGCGGCCGUAACUAUAACGGUCCUAAGGUAGCGAAAUUCCUUGUCGGGUAAGUUCCGACCUGCACGAAUGGCGUAAUGAUGGCCAGGCUGUCUCCACCCGAGACUCAGUGAAAUUGAACUCGCUGUGAAGAUGCAGUGUACCCGCGGCAAGACGGAAAGACCCCGUGAACCUUUACUAUAGCUUGACACUGAACAUUGAGCCUUGAUGUGUAGGAUAGGUGGGAGGCUUUGAAGCGUGGACGCCAGUCUGCGUGGAGCCGACCUUGAAAUACCACCCUUUAAUGUUUGAUGUUCUAACGUGGACCCGUGAUCCGGGUUGCGGACAGUGUCUGGUGGGUAGUUUGACUGGGGCGGUCUCCUCCUAAAGAGUAACGGAGGAGCACGAAGGUUGGCUAAUCCUGGUCGGACAUCAGGAGGUUAGUGCAAUGGCAUAAGCCAGCUUGACUGCGAGCGUGACGGCGCGAGCAGGUGCGAAAGCAGGUCAUAGUGAUCCGGUGGUUCUGAAUGGAAGGGCCAUCGCUCAACGGAUAAAAGGUACUCCGGGGAUAACAGGCUGAUACCGCCCAAGAGUUCAUAUCGACGGCGGUGUUUGGCACCUCGAUGUCGGCUCAUCACAUCCUGGGGCUGAAGUAGGUCCCAAGGGUAUGGCUGUUCGCCAUUUAAAGUGGUACGCGAGCUGGGUUUAGAACGUCGUGAGACAGUUCGGUCCCUAUCUGCCGUGGGCGCUGGAGAACUGAGGGGGGCUGCUCCUAGUACGAGAGGACCGGAGUGGACGCAUCACUGGUGUUCGGGUUGUCAUGCCAAUGGCACUGCCCGGUAGCUAAAUGCGGAAGAGAUAAGUGCUGAAAGCAUCUAAGCACGAAACUUGCCCCGAGAUGAGUUCUCCCUGAGACUUAAAGUCUCCUGAAGGAACGUUGAAGACGACGACGUUGAUAGGCCGGGUGUGUAAGCGCAGCGAUGCGUUGAGCUAACCGGUACUAAUGAACCGUGAGGCUUAACCUUACAACGCCGAAG
Molecule: ribosomal RNA, 3013 nt
Filed under: Salmonella enterica subsp. enterica serovar Typhimurium
Lineage: Bacteria; Pseudomonadati; Pseudomonadota; Gammaproteobacteria; Enterobacterales; Enterobacteriaceae
Description: bacterial LSU rRNA
Rfam family: Bacterial large subunit ribosomal RNA
Source: RNAcentral